RNAcentral lists this ribosomal RNA (714 nucleotides) under Lutibacter sp. Its description in RNAcentral is "bacterial SSU rRNA". It matches the Rfam family "Bacterial small subunit ribosomal RNA", at positions 28 to 733 of the family's 1533-position model. The record is from RNAcentral. Lineage: Bacteria; Pseudomonadati; Bacteroidota; Flavobacteriia; Flavobacteriales; Flavobacteriaceae.
GAUGAACGCUAGCGGCAGGCUUAACACAUGCAAGUCGAGGGGUAACAGGGAAGAGCUUGCUUUUCUGCUGACGACCGGCGCACGGGUGCGUAACGCGUAUAGAACCUACCUUUUACAGGGGAAUAGCCCAGAGAAAUUUGGAUUAAUGCCCCAUAGUAUUAUUGAAUGGCAUCAUUUAAUAAUUAAACAUUUAUGGGUAAAAGAUGGCUAUGCGUUCUAUUAGCUAGAUGGUAAGGUAACGGCUUACCAUGGCAACGAUAGAUAGGGGUCCUGAGAGGGAGAUCCCCCACACUGGUACUGAGACACGGACCAGACUCCUACGGGAGGCAGCAGUGAGGAAUAUUGGACAAUGGAGGCAACUCUGAUCCAGCCAUGCCGCGUGCAGGAAGACGGUCCUAUGGAUUGUAAACUGCUUUUAUAUAGGAAGAAACCUUUCCACGUGUGGAAAGCUGACGGUACUAUAAGAAUAAGCACCGGCUAACUCCGUGCCAGCAGCCGCGGUAAUACGGAGGGUGCAAGCGUUAUCCGGAAUCAUUGGGUUUAAAGGGUCCGUAGGCGGACUAAUAAGUCAGGGGUGAAAUCCAACAGCUUAACUGUUGAACUGCCUUUGAUACUGUUAGUCUUGAGUUAUAUGGAAGUAGAUAGAAUAUGUAGUGUAGCGGUGAAAUGCUUAGAGAUUACAUAGAAUACCGAUUGCGAAGGCAGUCUACUACG